Molecule: transfer RNA, 77 nt
Filed under: Actinomadura sp. NBRC 104412
Lineage: Bacteria; Bacillati; Actinomycetota; Actinomycetes; Streptosporangiales; Thermomonosporaceae
Description: tRNA-Ser
Source: RNAcentral
GGCGGAGAUGAUGUUGGAGUUGUCGCCGCUGCUGACGGCGACGAACGCGGACGCGUGUUCGAUGCCCGCCUCGGCGA